Long non-coding RNA from Mya arenaria, 1631 nucleotides. RefSeq lists it as uncharacterized. The transcript has 2 exons. Lineage: Eukaryota; Metazoa; Mollusca; Bivalvia; Myida; Myidae. The record is from RefSeq and is a predicted model, not a curated record.
CUGUAUCCAGGCAAUGUGACGAGCACCUGUGGUCAACACUGGUUAAUUAGUUGUUAAACCGGUUAAAUAUAAUAUUUACAAAAUACUAUAGCCAUAUUCUAACGUAGCUAUAUAACUAUAUUCUAACGGUUACGCAUUUAAGACGAAACGCUCUUCACUGGCGGAGAUAGUUUCGAACGCCCGCCAUUUUUGUCGAAAUAUAAUGCGCCAAAUAAACUGAUGUCUUGUUUCGUUUAUUUAAGGUAAGUUCAAGCGAUGUAAGGAGUAUAAUUCAGUAACGUUUAUAACGAUCUUUUACGCUAAUAUUAUUGUUUAAAAUAACAUAGCAACAUUUUGAAGUAAUGAGCAAAUAUGUUUUGUUGUAAUACAUUUUCGCGACAAACAUACGAAAUACGUUUGUGUAGAAACACAGUUAAAUGCUUGUUUUUGACUAGCGUUCAGCUAAUACUUAAUUUAUAUAUAUAUUAAAGCAGCUUUUAAAUUUGUUUCUUAACGUUGGUAAGCUAUUUUUGUCGAGAAAAAGGAUCAAUUGUAAUGGGCCGGCAGCGAUGCAAAAGUGGGUGGGGAAGGUCAAAAACUAAAACCUUUAAAAAAGUUUUUAUUGUUUUGAGGAACGAUCUUUUAGGGGAGUGAAACAUAUAUUUUUGGCGACAUGUUAGUAGGGAGUUAACAAAUUUUACAAUAGAAUAUUAAUAUUUUUUAUAAAAAAAACUUUCACAUUUAUUCUAAAAAGUCUGUUGACAUUAUCACUUUGUUUUCAUGUCAAAAUGCUCCAGACUACCUAUUUAACAAUGUUGUGAGUUCGUUAUUAUAUCUUGUCAAAUAAAAAAUAAAAGUUCUUCAGGUUAAUAAUGAAAAGUAGUGGAUGAGAGAUCAUUUCCGGGUUACAAAUAUGUUAAUAUCUUUUUAAAUAUAGCUGCAAUCAAAACAAAGACAUUGUUGAUUGGACAGUUUCAAUAACUUCGACUCAGUCACAAAUAUACUCUUUAUGUUUAAAGACAAUAUAGCUUUUUGAUUUGAAAUCUGAUAAAAUCUUAUAUCAUAAAAUAUGCUCAAAUCCUAAUUACAGCUUCUCAUGUUGCAAUGGAUAAAUGGGUAUGAAUCAUGCUUGUUAAAUAUUGAACCUCAAAACUAAGAAGAAAUUGAUUUUUUUAACAUUUUUAAAUUUUGGUCCUUCAAUGGACUUUUGCAUCGCUGCCAACCCUUGACCUUUUAAAUAACCACUAUGCAAGCAAAUUAUGGUUAAGUGUCUGAAAUGUUGUUUCGUCUAUUUUAGCCAACCCAAAGGAGCUAACAAAUAAAUCAUCAGUCCUCAAACGAAUCAACCAGUGAAGGAGAAAAACAUUCAAAGCCGUAAAUUGUCAAAUCCAUCAGUUGGAAGAUGGAUGUCAAAGUCUUAGACAACGAAAGGCUUCCAGAGUUAAGAAAAGACCACUUCAACAAAAACAAUCAUGCAAAGAAUGACUGCAAAAAAUCUUUUCGCAGAUGCGUUUCAUCAUCAAGUGUAUAAGGAAAAGGGACCUGGGUACAGAGACUAGAUGUAAAUGUCAAGGACUGAAAUGAGCAAUUCAAUGGUUUCUUACUAAUUGUGUUUAUAUGCGUCAUAAGAAAUUAAAACUGUUAUAAAUGGA